Molecule: unclassified non-coding RNA, 218 nt
Filed under: Hevea brasiliensis (rubber tree)
Lineage: Eukaryota; Viridiplantae; Streptophyta; Magnoliopsida; Malpighiales; Euphorbiaceae
Source: RNAcentral
GAUUCUUCAAGUGAAGUUGCAGUACUGCGAGACUUGAGUUUUUGCAGAAUGGUUUUCCGGUGAAGGUAUGCUUGAUCGGCGUCAAAUGGUUCCCGGAGAGCAUUGGUCAGGCGAGGAAGUUGAAACAACAUAUUGGUUUCGCCGAUUGGUGUUCUUCUCCGAUAGUCUCAAGUGAAAUUGUAUGUGCUCCGAACCGGUUUUUGGUUUCUUGCGCAAGG